GAUUCAUUGCGGCAUUCAGCUUUAAAUCGACCCGGAUGUUCUUCGCGCUCACAGUUUGAACGGCCUUUGAAUGGUGCGAGCGUGCGUGAGUGUUUGGUGAGUGUUUGUGUGAGUAAAUGUGGAGUGUUUGAGUGUUUGAGCGUCUGAGUCGGUACUUCUCUUAAAUCUACACAGUGAUCUUAUUUGAUCUGGUCUGAGUUUGGCUCUGCUCCGACCGGAAAUGAUAGGAAAAGCGCUCUCGAGCCUUUAUGGCGAUGAGUAGAAUGCGAGUUAUUAGCGAGGGCCUCCACGCUUCAAUGUUGUGGUCAGAGGUGAUGAGUUGAUCAGAUAUACUAGUUCUAGUGAGUUUGGAUUCAUUUCAAGCUUCACAAUGGACAAUGAGUAAAGAAGCGAUUCUGAUCUAA
This is a non-coding RNA of Eleginops maclovinus (Patagonian blennie), 404 nucleotides long. RefSeq annotates it as small Cajal body-specific RNA 2. The record is from RefSeq and is a predicted model, not a curated record. Lineage: Eukaryota; Metazoa; Chordata; Actinopteri; Perciformes; Eleginopidae. The transcript has a single exon.